CCGCGCUGGGUAUCUUAGACAGGAGCAACGAAGGGAUUCCUGCUUGUUGGGCCACGGGGUGAAACGCAUUCGAGAGAGCCGCGUUGAUGCCCUAUAAGGCAACUGCUGCUGCUACAGGAAAGGAGUCCAGAUGGAUGGUCUGGCAGCGGCAGGAGCAGUCUAAACGGUCGCCAGUUUUAGUCAACAGUCUCCUCAGGGUAGCGGGGUGCCUCGCGCUGGACGAGCCACUCUACAUGAGAACCGCAUGCGAGGUCGACCAUGUGGCUGCCGAUUCUCGACAGAUAUCCGCCUAUCCGAUGUGUAGUCGCCAUCCAAUAUCUGAUAACGAACGGUGAGGUGGCCGUGGAGCAAGUUAGUCUACACGUUUUUGCGGUAGAGUGCUAGGCCGUUGAAGUCUAAAACAGUAGCGAAAUUUGGAUAAUGAGAAUUAUAACAGUAACUUAAGGAAUAACAACACCGGAAACACUAAUAGCGAGAGUAACGGCUAAGUUAGAGCGGAUGUCGCGAAUUGUCUUUUUCAAUCCUGCGCAUUUUGUCUGCUGGAGAAGUACGUGAUGCAAAAAAAUUGAAGAUGAAUUCACAUACCGUUCGUAUGGUAGCCAACCAGUGCGUCAAAGUGCGGUAGGAAGUUUCCUAGCGAGAACAGGACAUAGGUAGAUCUCUGCUUCGAAGGACGGAUCAGCGGGACCCGUUACUAAUGGGCCACUAAUGAUAAUACCCACUGCCAUGCAAGCCGAGUUCAACGUAUAAAUAAAACGGCUCGCCCAGCCUAAACGGUGCUACUAACUACUGCUACGGACCGAGUUUAUUUAACGUGUGAUUUAACUUUAUCGAUCGACGUACGGAGCUCAUUUGAGUCUAGUCUGCUGAUUGGCCUCUCGUGAAUGAGACCCGGCCGUGAUUGCUACUUCACGGAAAGCUCGACCCACACGUCCGUUCAGCAUACGAAAUACCUCAUAACGGCACCUAGAUUUUUAGCGACGUGAGACUGAACUUGUAACUCAUCGAAGAGUCUCAACUGAUACAGUUUCCUCAGGAUCUGCUAGCCGACUGCAGUCCUAUAUCAUCAUCUUUCACUAAUAUUCCGCUGCAUUUAGUACUAGUCUUACUUUGUCAUCUAUCCUGGCCCCGUCCAACUCAAAGCGGAUUAUCGUUUUGGCUCAAAAUUAUCGUUGUGAAGGAGACAGACGCGCGCAAUGUGGAAGUUAUGCUACAACGUCCUCAGGCUUUUAGAAGCGUGAUAACGAAAAAAACAAGGAAGAAAAACACCCGUGAAAUUAGUGAAUGGAAACAAUCUAUUUGUGUGUGUGGUUAGCGAACUUACCAAGCGCAACGAACGGCGCAGACAACGACCGGGCAUUCGUUCAGAACGGAUGGUCUUCAGAGCAUUGAUUAGUGUGUGUGCGCACAUAUAGACCUUCGUGAGCACUGCGAUUCGACCAAGCUAUAUGGUUGCUAUCCGUUAAUGGUGCAGAGCGGUUCGGGUCGAGGCCAGACUACGCUGACAAUUUCUGAGUGAAAUCUUCUCCGUUCGUAAACUUUGGAACCGUUGAGGUAGAAUCAAUGGAUAUCGCCCGGAUUCUGCUCAUGGGUCGCAGGGCGAGUAAGCUCAAGAAGGACGAUAUUAAGGAGCUCGAAGCUCAGACAUACUUCGACGGCAAACAACUCCGAAAAUGGUAUACGGAGUUCGUAAAAGACUGUCCAAAUGGUGAGAUGACGAAAGACGAAUUCGCCAAACUCUACGGCCAAUUUUUCCCCCCGGGCGAUCAAACGAAAUUCGUCGAUUAUAUCUUUAACGUGUUCGACGAGGAUAAAACGUUACCUACGAGCGGGCCUGCAGGCAGCCUACCUCGUCCAAUACAUCUACUACGGCCUACAGUCGGUGAAGCGCAAAUCGAAAGAGCGAACAAUGGAUUGAAUACGACACAACAAGCACACGAUUGUGCCUCAAUCGAUCUGAAUGGCGUGAUCACGUUCAAGGAAUUCAUUCGCGCCAUUUCGAUCACCACGAAGGGCUCUAUCGAUGAGAAGCUCAACUGGGCCUUCGACCUCUACGACAUCGACAACGACGGCUUCGUUACGCGCGCUGAAAUGGUCGACAUUGUUACCGCCAUCUAUGUCCUUCAUGGCAAAGCAGCGGAAGGUGAUCCGGUAUCGCGGAAGGUCGAUCAGCUGUUCGCAAAACUCGACUUCGACUCCGACGCGCGGAUCUCGAGAGAAGAGUUUUGUGAAGGCUUCAAGACAGAUCCCUGGAUUCGCAAAGCGUUACUCAGUCAAUACGAGUAGUCGGAGCAAACAGAGAAGCGACUCGACUGAACAGGCGUGGUCGUUUACUAUUGCCGUCGCCGUCUCCGCCGCUAUUGCCACAGAACCCCUCUGCAGACUCAACAGUGUGACAAGAAGCUCGCCACACAAAUUGAGGAGGAACUUUCAAUAGGCGCAUAACAAUCAAUACGCUCCCAUAACAACCGACGUUGCCUUUCUGCUGGGUAGCAAAAAGGCGUUGAUAUUUCGAAUACUACGGGGGUAGUCACGUACGGUAAAUCCGUCCUCCUCUGCCGCCUCAGUAGCAUCCAUGUAACGCCAGUUAAGUAUUCAAACUAACGUGCGUUGGUUUCGCAAACGGUACUGUGUCAAGAGGCAAUGUCAUAAUAUUACUGCAUAAAAACUGUAACACUUUUUUUUAGUGUUACCUGUCACCUCAAUAACGUCGUCGUCGUCGUCGUCUCGACGAUGGACGAUGACCUGCGAUCUGCCGCGGCUAGCGUGCGCAACUACGGAGAAAGAAAAACGAAUUCCGUGCGCAUUAAAUCCGCCGUCGAGAUGAACUAGAGGAUAGUAGGCGGAUCACUGAACCGGCCUCUUACACAAGACGCAGCGAUGAAACGGAUUAGCCGAUGGUGGCAGCACAGUAAGAAAAGGAUAGCACAGACUGUGUGAGAAUGAAGAACUUUUUUGAGACUUCUUCCUGAAAACUUCGUGAAUCUACAAAAUUCAUCGCACAGCUAAAUGAGCUUCGGGUGCGUUAGACAAGAUGAAUUUCGUCAAAAACAAUUUGAUACGACAAUAAUAAAACAUGCUUUUACCGAACUGACGUUUCCCGCAGUACAAAAAAUUGUCGAUUUUUGGCCGGCGCUUUGGCGACGUCCAGAACUUGAGUCGGCAAGGCUUGCGUCUAAUAAAAGUAUCGCUUUAGUAAAAGUAAAAAGGCAGAUCGGCUUUCAAUUGACGCCGAAUAGCUUAAAGCAAAAAGGAAACCUCAUCGUCAACAGGCGGAUGUUACGAACGAAGGAAUAUACACUAACAGAUGAGUACACGCUAAAUUUCAUUGCAUGAUCCUAAUAGAUGCUAUAAGUCGUCUUUUACAAUCCACUCUUACCUAGAUCUUUUUUUGUUUCAUUGUUUAACGCUUAAUUGUUUUUAUUCGACAUUUCCCUUCUCUAAGAUUUGUAACGGUAGAAAUUCUGUUUUCUUGUAUGAUUAUCAAUGUAUCCCUAUCGACGCCAGCGAAUGGUGGCAUAUACAAAAUGCAAUAGCGAAGUACUGGACAGCAUUGAUCACUCACGACUAGAACGAGAUGUGAACAUAGCAAUAUAUACAAUAGCGAGAUUUUCACUUUAGAAAUGUUUAGUACGCUACCUACACACAGAAAUAGAUAACUUCCGCCACCAUAACGAUUAUUUUGGCCCCUGUUUAUAUUCUAGAUACGGCUAAUUAGCUAUUAAGUAUGACCGAUUUUCUGUCACUUGCUAGUAAUCAUAACAUCUAAUGAAUAAAUCUUUCAUUCUUCCCCUAGAGAAAAAGCGAUUACGGCAUUUUCGACGAACUCUUCCAGUUCGCCACCUUGCAGUAUUUCGGGAAUGCCCGAUACAGGCAUAAGUGGCUAGGCAUAUUCUACCGUAUUCCCCAUGGUCUCCUGCUAAUGCAAACGUCACCAACCAAGAUUGGCCUUAUGGCAGCUGAACGCACGACGAACGGUUACUGCGAAGGUCGAGAUAGUCGCCCCCAAUUAGAUCAAGAGUACACAGAAAUAGAUCAUCAUCAACAUCAAUUCACGACAAUUCCCCGCUAAUCGGAAGUAGACCAGAUGAAGUGCUGGAUAUCAUGGCGUUUUGGUCUACAACAUGUCGAACAACGUCGUUCGAGUUUUUGCUAAUAUAAUCGCUGUAACUAGUAUCAUCCUUAAAAUCUAGAGACGUUUGGCUCUAUAGCGAAAGUCCGCGUUUCUAAUCUAUUGAUAAGUGGAUGACACCACAAUCGAUAUCGGAAGUUACCACUGGACAGCAAUAACUUCAUUCACCACGUUGGCGCUCAGAUAACGCUGGUAUGGAUACUGUUUAUCAAAAUAGGCCAUGACCUUUGAUCUAUCUGAAAAAGGACAUCAGGGUGCCCUUUUCGAAUACUAGGAUACUAUGAGUUACCUCCAGAUCGAUAUAUAGUUCUAUCGGUGUCAUCCGAUCAACUACUAACUAACGGUCCUUCCACAAGCUGUCCUUUACCACCCUGUAGCUUUAAACCUACCUAGUAAACCUUCUCGAAUCUCAACUUAGUUGACCUGUACUAUCCCUCCUCAAAACAUCUGCUCUUCAUUGUUUCAAACAAUACCGAAUAGCUUUAUUAAAUAUGUUUAGAUUUCUGGCAGCUUGCUAGCUUUCGCUUACUGUGACUGAACAUGCAUAAAAGUACCUAUUUCGUGUAUAGAGUAGAUAUUUCGAUUUGAGUGUGUGUGUAUAUAUAUAUGCUCAAAGAUAAGUUGUUUUAGUAAGUUUUUUCCUCUUUUAUGAAACCUUACAAAGCAGCAAAGUUGAACAAACAACCUUGAACUGUUCUCGAUCUUGUCAGAAAUAGAGCACAACAGACCAAAAGGCCGGCAGAUGUUAUUGUAGCUAAUAGCAACAACAAAACGGAAUGAAUUACGCGGACUCGUAAAAUGUGCUAGCUAGAGAGAAAUUGAAAGCGCCCUAUUUUACCGCACCAUAAAAUUAGCCCUACGGUGAGGAUAGCAAGUAGAUCAAUGCGGCUAACGGCAAAACCUUAGAACGUUGCAAAGUCCAGCGUAGAUGAGCUCGGUGAUGGUGCUCGAUAACAAUGUAGGGCGUACUCGACACCGUGGUAAGCUUGGAAAAAUACACUGAAAAAUGUGUCACUGUCGACGGUAAUUGUAGCAAUUCUGAUGGACUAUCAUACGCGAAAUUUGGUUUCUCAUUAUUAUUUUGAUGACGGUCACAAUAUCACUAAGGGCAAAGGAUUGAAUUUAUCACCGCAAAAAACAAAACUGUCAGGCAAACACAAAGCCUUUUCCAGCAGGACAUGCGUUUCACCACGUUGUAGUAUACAUUUUACCUUGUAACUUUUUAUCCAGGUUUAUGGCUGAAACUUUAGGUGCAACGGGAUGGAUCGUCAGGUAGUUGUAAUAACUUAAACAAUAUCGAGGUUGUGAAUUAAUUACAGAGUACUUGUGUGUAUCUGUGGAAUUAUAUAUUUACGAAAUUAGACGUUAUGUUACACCAGCACAUACUGAUAGAAAUAUUAUGUGAACAAGAAGUUAUUUCAAGUUGAAUUUCAUAUAUUCUUGUACUUUAUUAUAGCUCACAAGACAAAGAAAAGUUUGCGACCUCCGCUAUUGAAGGGCAAACUCCAAUUUGUUUUACAUGUAAAAAUUUCCACCUCAGAUAUUCACUCGUAUUGGCUAUCGCAAGUAUUUACGAGAACGUCCGGAAGGUCGGACCAUUAAGGAGCCGUUCUACCAGCCUUAGUGUGAUAAAUGUAAAGAUUAAACUCUUAGGUUGUUGAUCGAACUGCUGGCUCUUACUUCGAAUUGGCGCAUUUUUUUGUAAGUAAAAUAACUAAAUAGAUGCUACUAAUGUACAUGUUGCCGUGUGCAAAUGGACCGCAAGCCACAUGUUAUCGUCUAACAUUAUCUAAGGACUCGAUAAAGAUAACGGCGGCUGAAAGGGAUAAACAUCGAAACGACUCAGGAUAAAA
Varroa destructor (honeybee mite) is the source of this 5985-nucleotide non-coding RNA. The record is from RefSeq and is a predicted model, not a curated record. Lineage: Eukaryota; Metazoa; Arthropoda; Arachnida; Mesostigmata; Varroidae.